UAUGUUAUAUAAACGAAUAUA
This 21-nucleotide non-coding RNA is filed under the name Caenorhabditis elegans. Lineage: Eukaryota; Metazoa; Nematoda; Chromadorea; Rhabditida; Rhabditidae. The record is from RNAcentral.